RNAcentral lists this long non-coding RNA (2535 nucleotides) under Triticum aestivum (bread wheat). Its description in RNAcentral is "long non-coding RNA (TAES_LNC012094)". The record is from RNAcentral. Lineage: Eukaryota; Viridiplantae; Streptophyta; Magnoliopsida; Poales; Poaceae.
UAGGAUGCUUCUCGGGAUGCCAUGGCCCUUCCUCCCGCUGGUUCUCCUUGCUCCUCAAGGUCCGCACAUCUCUGGUCGAUUGAUUCAGCUCCAGCGUCAAGGACACAACGGCAGCAGCAGCAAGGUUCGCCCCGCCUCUUGAUUUAAUCUUCUUCCAAUCCGUUGCCUUCUGAUGCUCGUGGACUCCUUCUUCUUCUUCUACAACUUCUCAUCAUCUCCUAUUGAUGUGUGCUCAUAUUAUGUCAAGGAAAGGAAUUCAAGGCCAUGGGAGCUUCUUCUAGUAUAGGACGUGUUGGACCUGCUGCUGUUGCUGGUUGUGUUCCCCAACCAAGUCCCCAAGCUGCAUCUUGCUACUCCUGCCUCGGCCGUACUCAACUUGCUCCUGGACAGCUACUGCAGGUGAGACAAUUGCCUCCAUCUACUGCAGGUAGAACUACUAUGUAGUUUGGUUGUAGCAGCAACUGUUGUAGGUUGGAAUAUAUAUGUGGUUUCAUAAGCUGGUGCUGCUAGUUGUUAUGGGAAUAUAUAUCUUAGUGCUUUUGGGGUUGUUCCUGUGGAUCCGGCGAGUUUAGUUUGGUUGUAGCAGCAACUGUAACUUUGUAUUACAUAUACUACAAGUUUGUACAGGAUUUUCGUUUGCUAGGAAACAUGGUCAUAUAUUCAUCUUUAAUGCUAGUUGUAUAUUUAGCGCAUCCAUAUGUGCAAGAAAAGGGUUCAGACAGAGAGGGGUACCUGUUUAUCAUGAUUUUUGCACCAGUUUAUCAUAUUGGUCUCCUGUAUUGUACUUUGAAGUUUAUCAUGUUGUGAAGCUGACCCUUCAAAUUGGGUUGCAGAGGAGGUAUGGCUGCCGCGCAAUGAUGCUGGAGACUGUUGCCGCAAUGCUGGGGAUGGAGACAGAUUGCACUGGAAAUAUUUUGUUAUUCCUUGCCUAAUGUUCUUGUUGCUGAUAAUAGGGCAUGUAGAUAGCAAGUUAUUUUCCUAGUGGUUACUUAUGCUUAUUGUGUAUCACAUUUAAAAAGAAAAUGCACAAUGAGCUUGUUUGAUCUUUCUUAUGCUUAUGUAUGCUUGAUCAAGGUAGUUCUUUUUUAAUUUGUUGACAAUGAACCAAUAUAACCAGUCAUCAGUAGCUAGUGUGCAUUGCCAAGUACAACAGUUCUACAUUGUAUGGAAUCAUCUAUAGAUAUUAUUUAUUUAAGUGUUGCUGGCUAUAUUGAAAUUAUACACUGAGGCGCUGUAGCAUUAGUGCACUGUAGCAUAUUAUUAUGAUUAAAGACUACCUACUGAUUUAGAAAUCGAGGAACACAUUAUCUGAGAAGAUAAUGGAAGUGUGAGAAAUUAGAAUCGUCUUUGUAUGCUAUACCAUAUAUAUGCUAUUUAUUUGUAUGCUAUUUAUCCAUGUGAUGCAACAUUAUCUGUAUGCUAUUUAUCCAUGUGAUGCAACAUUUUAAUGAACUUGUUAAACUGUUUGUCAAAAUUUAAAAUUAUGCUCCCUUGUGAAAUUUAUUGACAGGAUCUAUGCUAUAAGGACCUGGAGCAUCUAUUCUAAAAUCAUAGCUACAAGUUGUUGCUGUCGAUGGUGCCAUGGUGGUGCACAAUGUCUUUGGACUUCUCUGAGCUAAAGGUUCAUUCAAGAUUAGCCAAUGAUUCAUGUGAGCAUCUAUUCUGAAAACCCGGCAGCAGUUUUUUAUUUCCUGGAACUGUUUCAAUACUGCUAGAGUCUAAUGCUUACACUAGCUUCCCUAACUUAUCCCUAUGCAAAGACUCAUUAUACAAAUCAGAUACAAAUAUGAUCCCAUGUAUGAGUAAAGCUGGAUGACCAUCCAUUUGGUAAGAUUACAUAAUUGGUAGAACAAGUUAUCUAGAGAACUAAAUUGUUUGAAGCACGAAAGUUGAAUUUGCAUGCCGCUGAAUACUAUGUAAAUUCUACACUACUGAAAGUGUGCAGCUUAUGAUUCCUUUGCUGAAACAUGAAUGUACAGAUGGGAGUAUCACAACAUGCAUAUACUGAAGAUGGGAGUAUCACAACAUGCAUAUACUGAAGAUGGGAGUAUCACAACCUGAAUGUGCAGCUUAUGUAGUUUCUGUAUUUUUGUUAAAGCAUAUACUCUAGGAGGAGGAGCACCAUCUCAGGUUUGUCACUUGCUCCUCCACUUCUCUUAUCUUCUUCUUCUCCAUCUCCCCAUCUAAUUCAUGCGUUUCUUUGCAGGUUGCUCCGAUCUGGUUGUGUGAAGGAACAUGCAAGGUCUGCUACUACUGUUGUGCUCCCUCGAACGAUCUGGUGAAGGACAAUUUGGUCCAUAGGUCCAAUUACUGUAGCUAGCUAUCACACUUGUAGAGCUUGUAAUAUUGUGAUUCCAAUUGUAUUACGUGUUAUUGGUAGAGUAAGAGCUCCAUACUGAUUCUAGCUAUUGUUAUUUGAACUAUUACAUGUGUUUUCUGUCUGUUUGAAUUUAAAUAUUUGUUAUUUAUUCACUGGCAUAUUGAAAUCUGAAGAACAUGACCUUGACAUGAGGGACCCACAAAACAGAACCUGAC